UACGGAGGAUCCGAGCGUUAUCCGGAUUUAUUGGGUUUAAAGGGUGCGCAGGCGGGAGAUUAAGUCGGCGGUGAAAUUUUGCAGCUCAACUGUAAAAGUGCCUUCGAAACUGGUUUCCUUGAGUGUAGAUGAAGUAGGCGGAAUUUGUGGUGUAUCGGUGAAAUGCAUAGAUAUCACGAGGAACUCCGAUUGCGCAGGCAGCUUACUAAACUACUACUGACGCUCAGGCACGAAGGCGUGGGGAUCAGACAGGAUUAGAUACCCU
Molecule: ribosomal RNA, 265 nt
Filed under: uncultured prokaryote
Description: partial 16S ribosomal RNA
Rfam family: Bacterial small subunit ribosomal RNA
Source: RNAcentral